AUGAGCCCGGGCCGCAGAGGAAAGGCGCCUCAUGGCGCCGGGGCGAGCACUAAGCUAAGGCAGAGCACAGCUGAGUGCUCUGGCAGGGGGGGAAAUGCCGAAUUUCACUCCGUGUUUCAGCACAGAAAUGAAUGUGUAGCUGUUCUUCACCCCGGCYGCAUCAGCUAUGGCAGUGGAUUAACCGGAAGGCAAAAUCCCCCCUGGCUGCGCCGUCGCCUCCCCACUCGCAGGCCAGACCAUGCCACGGCCGCUGCUGGACGACACUGCUGGAGAGCUGCUGGUCAGGGACAUGGAGCCCGCGGCAGGUCCGAGCGGAGAGUGCUAUGGAGCGCUGGAGCACUGGACGAGGCUGCAGCCACCACCAGAGCGCCACAACGCCUCCAGAUGCAGCUUGGAGGAGGAGGUGAGCAUGCGGCGGGGACCACAGGGCUCCCUGUGAUGUGUCCGGGAUUGCCAGGAAGCGCCCAAGAUCCUUGCGAAGCAUCCGGGAUCCCCAUGAGGCACUCAGGAUCCUUGCAAUGUGUCUGGGAUCACCAGGAAGCACCCAGGAUUCCCGUGAUGUGCCUGGGAUCACUGAGAAGCGCCCAAGAUCCUCAUGGCAUGCCCAGGAUUCCCACGAGGCACCCGGGAUCCUCGCGACGUGCCCAUGAUCCCUGCAAGGUGUUCAGGAUCCUUGUGACGCAUCUGGGAUCCCUGUGA
This 699-nucleotide long non-coding RNA is filed under the name Apteryx haastii (Great spotted kiwi). RNAcentral's name for it is "lncRNA (ENSAHAG00000018215.1)". The record is from RNAcentral. Lineage: Eukaryota; Metazoa; Chordata; Aves; Apterygiformes; Apterygidae.